GGUCGGUAUCUGUGAAGCGCUCGCUCUGUGCAGAGCACUGUUCUAAGCGCUGGGGGAGAUACAGGGUCAUCAGGUGGUCCCACCUGAGGCUCACCAUCUUAAUCCCCAUUUUACAGAUGAGGGAACCGAGGCCCAGAGAAGUGAAGUGACUUGCUCACAGCUGCCAAGCGGCAGAGCGGGGAUUCGAACCCAUGACCCCCGACUCCCAAGCCCGGGCGCUUUCCGCUGAGCCACGCUGCACAGUUCGGCAACAGAGGCCAUCCCUGCCCGAUGACGGGCUCCUAGUUUUCCCGGAGGAAGAAGUGUCUGCGGAGGCUCCCAAGAUGAGGGAACCGAGGCCCGGAGAGGCGAAGUGACUUGCCCCCAGUCCCACAGCUGGCAAGUGGCAGAGCCGGGGCAGGCAGAGAGCGCCCCCGAGCUGCCCAUCGAGGAGCUCCCCGGGACGGGGCAGAUGAUAAUAAUAAUAAAGGUUGGUAUUCGUUAAGCGCUUACUCUGUGCAGAGCGCUGUUCUGAGCGCUGGGGUAGACACAGGGCAAUCGGGCUGUCCCACGUGGGGCUCACGGUCUGAAUCCCCAUUUUACAGAUGAGGGAACUGAGGCACAGAGAAGCUAAGUGACUCGCCCACAGUCACGCAGCUGACAAGGGGCAGAGUCGGGAUUCAUUCAUUCAUUCAUUCAUUCAAUAGUAUUUAUCGAGCGCUUACUAUGUGCAGAGCACCGGACUGAGCGCUUGGGACGAACAAGUCGGCCACAGAUAGAGACGGUCCCCGCCGUCCGACGGGCUCACGGUCCGAUCGGGGGAGACGGACGGACGGGGACGACGGCGACGGAUGGAGUCGGGGGGAAGGACGUCUCGCGAAAACGAUGGCGACUGAAUAGAAUCGAGGCGACGUACAUCUCGUUAACAAAAUAAAUAGGGUAAUAAAAAUAUAUACAGUCGAGCGGACGAGUACGGCGCCGAGGGGACGGGAAGGGAGAGGGGGAGGAGCGGAGGGAAAAGGGGAAAAAGAGGGUUAAGCUGGGGAGAGGUAAAGGGGGGAUGGCAGAGGGAGAAGGGGAGCUCGGUCUGGGAAGGCCUCUCGGAGGAGGUGAGUUUUAAGUAGGGUUUCGAAGAGGG
Molecule: long non-coding RNA, 1117 nt
Filed under: Ornithorhynchus anatinus (platypus)
Lineage: Eukaryota; Metazoa; Chordata; Mammalia; Monotremata; Ornithorhynchidae
Description: lncRNA (ENSOANG00000036799.1)
Source: RNAcentral